UUGGCUUUCACUCCGGUUAGACAGUGUGUUUCAGCUGGGUUGCGCGUGAGCGGCCCUUCCAUCGGAACACUAUUUGUUGUUUUGUUGAUUUUGUUUUGCAUUUUAUUUUGGAGUUCGGAAGGAAAUCCUGGGUGGGGGUACGCUUCUCGCGCAGCUGAUCUCAUUUGGAGAACGGUUGUUACGAGGUUCAGCGUUUCAAGUCGCCUCGAGCCCGGCAGUCCUUUGAAGACUAGCUAGGUUAGUUAGUUUCAACAGGCAGGCAUAUCGGAGAUGUAAAAGCCAAUGGAAAUCCUGGGCCCAGGAAGCAGGAAUCCGGAACCAAGUGGAGUGGGAUCAUCGGUGGAAAUUUUGAUGUUUUUUUAGUAUUCCUUAGAGGAAUACU
This is a long non-coding RNA of Carassius auratus (goldfish), 382 nucleotides long. RefSeq lists it as uncharacterized. The record is from RefSeq and is a predicted model, not a curated record. The transcript has 2 exons. NCBI's taxonomy places the organism in Eukaryota, Metazoa, Chordata, Actinopteri, Cypriniformes, Cyprinidae.